Panthera leo (lion) is the source of this 192-nucleotide small nuclear RNA. Its record names the gene U2. It matches the Rfam family "U2 spliceosomal RNA". From Rfam's summary of the family: U2 is a small nuclear RNA (snRNA) component of the spliceosome (involved in pre-mRNA splicing). Complementary binding between U2 snRNA (in an area lying towards the 5' end but 3' to hairpin I) and the branchpoint sequence (BPS) of the intron results the bulging out of an unpaired adenosine, on the BPS, which initiates a nucleophilic attack at the intronic 5' splice site, thus starting the first of two transesterification reactions that mediate splicing. Lineage: Eukaryota; Metazoa; Chordata; Mammalia; Carnivora; Felidae. The record is from Ensembl.
AUCACUUCUUGGCCUUUUGGCUAAGAUCAAGUGUAAAGUUUAACAUUAGUGUUAGUUUUUUCUUUCUUUUUUUUAAGUUUAUUUAUUUAUAAAUAGAGAGAGAAACCAUGUGAGUGGGGGAGGGGCAGAAAGAGAGAGAGAAUCCCAAGCAGGCUCUGUGCUGUCAGCUCAGAGUCCGUCACGGGGCUCAAU